This 1311-nucleotide long non-coding RNA is filed under the name Homo sapiens (human). Its description in RNAcentral is "HSALNT0252914". The record is from RNAcentral. Lineage: Eukaryota; Metazoa; Chordata; Mammalia; Primates; Hominidae.
GUUUGUCAACUCAACACCCACUCUCCCUGUCUUCCUCGCAGUCAAGCCCAGGCUCAGCCACCUGUCCUCUGCUAAUUUAUGUAUUUCAGGGGAAGCCUGCUGUGUCAUGAGUCUAAGAUGUUUUCUAAUGGUGAAAAGGCAAAGUGGGGGUCUCGUUCUUGUUCCUGGAAUUGAUUUUGAGGACCUCAGAUGUCUAACCAAGGCUGGGAAUCUGAUGAGAGAGCCACUCUCCAUGAAGCUGAAACAGGGAGAUUCACCACCACUUACGUGAGCUGAAUGUGAGACUGUCCAGCUCCUUCUCUACUGAAGGGGCUGUGGAAAAUGAUAAGAGGGACGAUGCCUUGCUGUUGAGCAGAGUGAGGAGUGACAAUGUGCGAGAGAAUUUUCAGUCAACACUUGUCAUUACAGGAGAACUGCACCUCAAAUACGUAAGACCCGGAUUAUCCAAAUAUCUUAAACCAUACAUUUAAGUGACAAGGGUUACACGGAUUAUGCAUGGGCUGCAAUAAAUACAACUACUUUCUGCAGGAAUAUAACUUCAUUCUAGGCCCGAAACAAUUCCCCCAAAUAAUUUUCCAAAGAAAAUGAGUUGUUUACAGCAAAAAGUUAAUCACAGGCGCAUAAGACCUGAGGGAAGAACAGUGAAAACGAAGAGAAGAAAUGAAUCUUGAAAGAUUCCAAAUAGUAGAACUACCAUGCACAGACCAUAAAAGAACAAUGUUUAUCAUGUUUUAAGACAUUACAAACCAGACUGAAAAUAUCUGCAGGGAAUAGGAAACUACCAAAAAAUACCUCAGUGUUUUUGAAAAAUAACUAAAUAAAUGUAGAAAUGAAAAUCACAGUAAUUGCAAUAAAAAACUCAAUAGACAGAUUUAAUAAGACUAUAAAGGAUGCACUCAAAGAUACCCGAAGAAAUUUCCAGUGCAUUGCACAGACAGAUGAAGAGUGAGAAAAUAAAGGAGAAGUUAAAAGGCAAGACACAGUGAGACACUAAUCUUAUCAGGUUUCUAGAAAGGGAGCAGAAAAUGAAGGGCAUGAAAUAUUUAAAGAGAUAAUUAUUUAGAGUUUUCAAAACUGUUGAAAAAGAAAAAAAUCUAUACACUAUGCAGAGAAAAAGAGUAACACACUCAUGAAAGGAGUGGUAAUUAGGUUGAUACCUGAUUUCAGUGGCACCCGGGAGACUGGAAUGAUGUAUUCAGCAAGCUGAAAAAAAAUGCUCAUCCAGACUUCAACAUCCAAGAAUGAAGCUGAAGUGAAAACUAGAAUUAUCUGCCAAAAAUCUAUUUUCACUAAGGGAAUGUCUGAAGUCUC